Molecule: small RNA, 125 nt
Filed under: Marmota monax (woodchuck)
Lineage: Eukaryota; Metazoa; Chordata; Mammalia; Rodentia; Sciuridae
Source: RNAcentral
GCCCGGUGCAGUGGUGCACGCCUGUAAUCCCAGCAGCUCUGGAGGCUGAGACAGGAGGAUUGUGAGUUGAAAGUCAGCCUCAGCAAAAGUGAGGCACUAAGCAACUCAGUGAGACCCUGUCUCCA